RNAcentral lists this long non-coding RNA (1936 nucleotides) under Equus asinus (donkey). RNAcentral's name for it is "lncRNA (ENSEASG00005035521.1)". The record is from RNAcentral. Lineage: Eukaryota; Metazoa; Chordata; Mammalia; Perissodactyla; Equidae.
GGAACAGAGAGCCGAGCUGUCCUGUGACAGUGGAAUUUGUACCAGAAGCGACUGUAUGGUCAGGCCCAGCGGAAGACGGGGUGGUGAGGCAAAUCCCAGCCGAGGGAUCUUUAAAAGCCUCUCUCAGCGAGGCCGGUCCUUCUCGGUGAUGGAGGGGCUAUAAAUCACAUGCUCUGCCCGGCGUCUCCAUCAGGCCUUCCUCUCCGCUCCGGAGCUGGGAGUGAAGUCCAGUUGCCACAAGGAAUCGGCACCUGAUGUGGUGGUCCCCCCACCCCCAGGCGCCCUGCCCGGAGGCUCAAGAUGAACGUGAGGCGGUCACACUGGCUCUAAGGACAAAGCUGGUACCAUGGGGACGUCUCGGUCCCCUUCCCAUGUGCACGCAUCUGGCCCAGGAGAUGUGUAGGCACGACACAGGAGUGGCUUAGCUGGAAUUAACACAACGCAGCCUGAGGGCAUAUGUGGACCAUUUGGAACUCAAGGCCCCAGGAGGUGGCCCAGUAGCAGCAGUAAGGUGCCUCUGGAAGGUGAGACCUCCCUAAUACUGUUUGUGCCAUUUCAUCAAGAUUUGCAGAAACGGUAGAGCUGAUCGUACACGCAGAACUACCACGUUCCUGGCAGACAUCUCCUCCCUUCACGCAUCUUAGAGCAGAAGGCGCAGCUGCAACCUGAGAGAACAUGGUCCUAAAUGCAGAAUCCUCGUGAUGGGGAAGUCAAGGACUGAUUGCUUUAGAUGAAGAAAAUGGUUAAAUCACUUGAAUAGAAUGCCCCUAUCGCACCUGUCUACUCCCGACACUGACAGAUCACUGCCUGGCGCAGUCACCAUGGGAACAAGGCUGUAGAUAACUCGUACCACGGUGUUAACUGGGUUAAUUUUGUGUAGAAAAAAUCGCCUCGGUUCAAAAGAAGCUGGUUCCUUUAAAUAUCUGAUUACGGAGCCCGGCUAACUCACUCACACAGAGAGCUCUGGGGAGGGGGAAGGGAAGUGACGGGGAUGGAAAACAGCUGAGGAAUAGUGACAUCAGAUGCUCCCAGUACAACAGCCAGAGAGAGGACGCCAGCCAGGCAGAACGUUAGAGGUAACGGAAGGGACCUGGAGCAUAUUUAUAUUUUGUAGAAUGCAGUUUGCUCCAGAAAUGGAAAUUAUUCCAGGAAGGUCAGAGAGAAGACGCUGCUGUAGAUGGAAAGUGCAGCUGAGCAGAAACCCCAGGACCCAAAAAAGAAUCGGAUCAUGACACUGUGACUCUAAGUAACUUAUCGACUGCAGAGCAGGACUUUCAGCGGACUUACGCCCUGGGGCUUUGCCCUGUAAAAACGGCUGAGCAGGUCAAAGCAGAGGUGCCACACAUUAGGAACUGCAUACUGUCUCUUCUUAUUGUGCACUUUUAUUUUCUGUUUAACUUGCACAUGCCAUUUAUUUGUUUUUUUAAAAUUGAGAUAUAAGAUACUACCAAAAAAGGUCAAAUGUGUAAAGUAUACGAAUCUAUGUGUAUAGCUUCACGAAUCUCACAUACAUGUAUAUAAACAUACAUCAAUGUAAUCAACAUCCAGAUCAAGAUACAAAAUACUUCCCCCACCCUAGAAAGCUCCCCAGCGAUGCCCAGCAAGCCCACCAGAAGGAAAGGGCAUCCUUACUUCGAGCACCUGAGUUAGUUCUGCCUGUCCUCGAUAAACGCGAGAAAUGAGUCAGGCAGCAUUCGCUUCUGGCUUUUUACUCAACACAAGGUGUGUAAGAUUCAUCCGCGUUAUUGUGCACAUCAGUCGUUGGUCUUUAAUGUUGUGGUUUACAUUGUGUUGGAUGACUAUACUCCUCAUUUAUUGAUCUCUUCUCCUGUUGACGGACAUUUGUGCUGUGUCCAGCUUGAGGCAGUUAGGAAUAAAGCUUUGGUGAAAAUUGUUAUGUGAUUUUCUGUUGUUGUACCUAUGUGCCCAUUUCUUC